Molecule: transfer RNA, 29 nt
Filed under: Ichnanthus sp. Silva et al. 550
Lineage: Eukaryota; Viridiplantae; Streptophyta; Magnoliopsida; Poales; Poaceae
Description: partial tRNA-Ser
Source: RNAcentral
GGAGAGAUGGCUGAGUGGUUGAUAGCUCC